CUUCCCAUUCCGAACAGAGAAGUUAAGCCCGGUCACGCCGAUGGUACUGCGUAACAGUGGGAGAGUAGGUAGUCGCCGUUU
This 81-nucleotide ribosomal RNA is filed under the name Bacteroides uniformis. The record is from RNAcentral. RNAcentral also lists the same sequence under 2 other names. Lineage: Bacteria; Pseudomonadati; Bacteroidota; Bacteroidia; Bacteroidales; Bacteroidaceae.